RNAcentral lists this unclassified non-coding RNA (225 nucleotides) under uncultured Solirubrobacterales bacterium. RNAcentral's name for it is "contains 16S-23S intergenic spacer region". The record is from RNAcentral. Lineage: Bacteria; Bacillati; Actinomycetota; Thermoleophilia; Solirubrobacterales.
UCCGGUUUAGACCGGCGGUCACCAACAUGUCAAGCCCAGGUAAGGUUCUUCGCGUUGCGUCGAAUUAAACCACAUGCUCCGCUGCUUGUGCGGGCCCCCGUCAAUUCCUUUGAGUUUUAGCCUUGCGGCCGUACUCCCCAGGCGGGGCACUUAGUGCGUUAGCGACGGCACGGGAGGAGUCGACACCUCCCACACCUAGUGCCCAUCGUUUACGGCGUGGACUAC